UACCUCCUGGCAGUGGUCAAGGAGACACCUGAUUGGUGGUGUUGCUCUUAUAUCUGUCUGGGGCAAAGCAGACGCACAGUCCUUAGUUCAUCCUAGCUUGAUGCCUGUGAUGAUAGCCAGCUGUUUCAUGCCUGGGGCACAUUA
Myotis lucifugus (little brown bat) is the source of this 144-nucleotide small nucleolar RNA. The record is from Ensembl. Lineage: Eukaryota; Metazoa; Chordata; Mammalia; Chiroptera; Vespertilionidae.